UCAUUUCCUAAGUGAUUCUAGAUUGUGUCU
This 30-nucleotide non-coding RNA is filed under the name Rattus norvegicus (Norway rat). Lineage: Eukaryota; Metazoa; Chordata; Mammalia; Rodentia; Muridae. The record is from RNAcentral.